Bactrocera latifrons is the source of this 804-nucleotide long non-coding RNA. RefSeq lists it as uncharacterized. NCBI's taxonomy places the organism in Eukaryota, Metazoa, Arthropoda, Insecta, Diptera, Tephritidae. The transcript has 3 exons. The record is from RefSeq and is a predicted model, not a curated record.
GCGCAUUAAUUUUGCUCGUCUCUCAGGGCUAUAAGCUUUGUAAUUCGCAUAGAUUGGGUAGUCGCAAGACAACUGUUUACUGCGGACUCAGUCAGGUGGGCCACGACUUCGUUUUCAAAAUUGAAUUCUGCGGGGGUGGAUGUCAUCUUUCCAGAGCUUCAGCAACAAGGGGACGUUCUACUGUCCUACCUUGUUCAUCUUGUUCUAUCCCUGAACCAUGGAGGACAGCGAGGUGAUCUUUGCACCGAAGUCUACCAGGAACUUCAAAUGGAUUUGAAUGGUCUCUUAAAUGCCUUCUUCUAAUAUUUUAAAUGCAGUUUCGAUGUGGAAGAGACAAACUAACAGCUAGUUAAAAUCAUUAGGUUUGUAAAAACGAAAUCACGGUUUCCAAUGGCAACAUCUUAACAAAUCUGUUUUUAUUUCCAAAACCUCUGAUAAGAAUAUUAUUAUAGUUAAAUCCAAGAAUCCACACUUUGUUGGCAAUUAAUAUUUUAACAACGAAGUGAAGAAAGCAAUGGGUAUUUAAGAUUGAACGUUUUUUUCAAUACUUGUCUAAUAAAAAUGGUGUCGGCUACUGGGCAAGCGUAAAAAGUUGACAAGUGCUCAAUAUUUUGCUUCACUUUACGUUGCGUUGCCUCAAUGUGAACGAACUGAUACAAAUGUGUAUGUACAUCGAACUUUUUCGUUAAAGCAAAUAUCCAAAGGAGAGCCCAGCAAAAGUUGUGUGUAAAUCAGCCAUUACGGGAGAUAUGCAAGGCUGGGAGAGGUCAAACUCCCGAUUCCUGGCUUUCAAGUCCUUGAUAU